Molecule: ribosomal RNA, 1026 nt
Filed under: Leuconostoc pseudomesenteroides
Lineage: Bacteria; Bacillati; Bacillota; Bacilli; Lactobacillales; Lactobacillaceae
Description: bacterial SSU rRNA
Rfam family: Bacterial small subunit ribosomal RNA
Source: RNAcentral
UGCAGUCGAACGCGCAGCGAGAGGUGCUUGCACCUUUCAAGCGAGUGGCGAACGGGUGAGUAACACGUGGAUAACCUGCCUCAAGGCUGGGGAUAACAUUUGGAAACAGAUGCUAAUACCGAAUAAAACUUAGUAUCGCAUGAUAUCAAGUUAAAAGGCGCUACGGCGUCACCUAGAGAUGGAUCCGCGGUGCAUUAGUUAGUUGGUGGGGUAAAGGCUUACCAAGACAAUGAUGCAUAGCCGAGUUGAGAGACUGAUCGGCCACAUUGGGACUGAGACACGGCCCAAACUCCUACGGGAGGCUGCAGUAGGGAAUCUUCCACAAUGGGCGCAAGCCUGAUGGAGCAACGCCGCGUGUGUGAUGAAGGCUUUCGGGUCGUAAAGCACUGUUGUAUGGGAAGAAAUGCUAAAAUAGGGAAUGAUUUUAGUUUGACGGUACCAUACCAGAAAGGGACGGCUAAAUACGUGCCAGCAGCCGCGGUAAUACGUAUGUCCCGAGCGUUAUCCGGAUUUAUUGGGCGUAAAGCGAGCGCAGACGGUUGAUUAAGUCUGAUGUGAAAGCCCGGAGCUCAACUCCGGAAUGGCAUUGGAAACUGGUUAACUUGAGUGUUGUAGAGGUAAGUGGAACUCCAUGUGUAGCGGUGGAAUGCGUAGAUAUAUGGAAGAACACCAGUGGCGAAGGCGGCUUACUGGACAACAACUGACGUUGAGGCUCGAAAGUGUGGGUAGCAAACAGGAUUAGAUACCCUGGUAGUCCACACCGUAAACGAUGAAUACUAGGUGUUAGGAGGUUUCCGCCUCUUAGUGCCGAAGCUAACGCAUUAAGUAUUCCGCCUGGGAGUACGACCGCAAGGUUGAAACUCAAAGGAAUUGACGGGGACCCGCACAAGCGGUGGAGCAUGUGGUUUAAUUCGAAGCAACGCGAAGAACCUUACCAGUCUUGACAUCCUUUGAAGCUUUUAGAAGAUAGAGUGUUCUCUUCGAGACAAGUGACAGGUGGGUGCAUGGGUCGUCGUCAGCUCGUGU